GCACAAGCGGUGGAUGAUGUGGAUUAAUUCGAUGCAACGCGAAAACCUUACCUACGCUUGACAUGUCAGGAACCUCAAAGAGAUUUGGGAGUGCUCGAAAGAGAACCUGCACACAGGUGCUGCAUGGCUGUCGUCAGCUCGUGUCGUGAGAUGUUGGGUUAAGUCCCGCAACGAGCGCAACCCUUGCCAUUAGUUGCUACGAAAGGGCACUCUAAUGGGACUGCCGGUGACAAACCGGAGGAAGGUGGGGAUGACGUCAAGUCCUCAUGGCCCUUAUAGGUGGGGCUACACACGUCAUACAAUGGCCGGUACAGAGGGUAGCCAACCCGCGAGGGGGAGCCAAUCCCACAAAGCCGGUCGUAGUCCGGAUCGCAGUCUGCAACUCGACUGCGUGAAGUCGGAAUCGCUAGUAAUCGCGGAUCAGCAUGUCGCGGUGAAUACGUUCCCGGGUCUU
Molecule: ribosomal RNA, 454 nt
Filed under: uncultured Allobrachymonas sp.
Lineage: Bacteria; Pseudomonadati; Pseudomonadota; Betaproteobacteria; Burkholderiales; Comamonadaceae
Description: bacterial SSU rRNA
Rfam family: Bacterial small subunit ribosomal RNA
Source: RNAcentral